CACGUAGGGUGCGAGCGUUGUCCGGAAUUAUUGGGCGUAAAGAGCUCGUAGGCGGUGUGUCACGUCGGCCGUGAAAACCUGCAGCUUAACUGUGGGCGUGCGGUCGAUUCGGGCAUCACUGGAGUUCGGCAGGGGAGACUGGAAUUCCUGGUGUAGCGGUGAAAUGCGCAGAUAUCAGGAGGAACACCGGUGGCGAAGGCGGGUCUCUGGGCCGAUACUGACGCUGAGGAGCGAAAGCGUGGGGAGCGAACAGG
This 254-nucleotide ribosomal RNA is filed under the name uncultured bacterium. Its description in RNAcentral is "partial 16S ribosomal RNA". It matches the Rfam family "Bacterial small subunit ribosomal RNA", at positions 524 to 776 of the family's 1533-position model. The record is from RNAcentral.